GACGAACGCUGGCGGCGUGCUUAACACAUGCAAGUCGAACGGAAAGGCCCUGCUUUUGUAGGGUGCUCGAGUGGCGAACGGGUGAGUAACACGUGAGUAACCUGCCCUUGACUUUGGGAUAACUUCAGGAAACUGGGGCUAAUACCGGAUAGGAGCUCCUGAUGCAUGGUGGGGGUUGGAAAGUUUCGGCGGUUGGGGAUGGACUCGCGGCUUAUCAGCUUGUUGGUGGGGUAGUGGCUUACCAAGGCUUUGACGGGUAGCCGGCCUGAGAGGGUGACCGGCCACAUUGGGACUGCGAUACGGCCCAGACUCCUACGGGAGGCAGCAGUGGGGAAUAUUGCACAAUGGGCGGAAGCCUGAUGCAGCAACGCCGCGUACGGGAUGACGGCCUUCGGGUUGUAAACCGCUUUCGCCUGUGACGAAGCGUGAGUGACGGUAAUGGGUAAAGAAGCACCGGCUAACUACGUG
RNAcentral lists this ribosomal RNA (468 nucleotides) under uncultured bacterium. RNAcentral describes it as "partial 16S ribosomal RNA". It matches the Rfam family "Bacterial small subunit ribosomal RNA", at positions 28 to 507 of the family's 1533-position model. The record is from RNAcentral.